CACACGCUUGAUAAGCGUGGGGUCACAAGUUCAAGUCUUGUCAGACCCACCA
This 52-nucleotide transfer RNA is filed under the name Acinetobacter sp. 809848. RNAcentral's name for it is "partial tRNA-Leu". It matches the Rfam family "tRNA", at positions 24 to 71 of the family's 71-position model. Rfam says of the family: Transfer RNA (tRNA) molecules are approximately 80 nucleotides in length. Their secondary structure includes four short double-helical elements and three loops (D, anti-codon, and T loops). The record is from RNAcentral. Lineage: Bacteria; Pseudomonadati; Pseudomonadota; Gammaproteobacteria; Moraxellales; Moraxellaceae.